Triticum aestivum (bread wheat) is the source of this 2241-nucleotide RNA transcript. RefSeq lists it as uncharacterized. Lineage: Eukaryota; Viridiplantae; Streptophyta; Magnoliopsida; Poales; Poaceae. The transcript has 4 exons. The record is from RefSeq and is a predicted model, not a curated record.
UCUCCUCAUCCACGCACCGAACAGCCCCCGUCGAUGGCGCUCGGCCCCGUCGCUCCCCCGCCCCGUCGCCGGCCCUCCCCCGCCCUGUCGCCGGCCCUCCCCCGCCGCCCUGUCACCGGCCCCGUUGCUCCCCCGCCCUGUCGCCAGCCGCGUCGCUCCCCCGCCCUGUCGCCGGCCCUCCCCCGCCCCGUCGCCGGCCCUCCCCCUCGUCCAUGACCUGCCCCGUCGAGGUCCAGGUCCGCGAUGGAUCCGCUUACGCCGGCGUCUUCCACACCGCCUGCCUCGACGCCGGAUAUGGUGAAUUUGUGUCUAUGCUCUGUGGCGUCGAUCUGUAAAUCUUCCGAUGCUAUUUUGUGCCAUAUGGGCAAACACUAAGUUCUGAGGAAGAGAUGUCAUAUGUGUACCAUAUGGACAAACCACUCUACAUUCUAAAGGACGGGCAGAACGUGCAUCCCCUGGUGAGGAGCUUGAUAGGAAGAGAUCUCAAGCGCGAUCUCAAGCGCACACACUAUACGAGGCUUCAGGAGGAAGGAUUCUAUGCUGUUCUAUUAUCUCCCCUUCUAGAACAGUUUUAACAUGGUCCCUCUGUAGUUGUUUCUGUAUAUGUACCUUGCAUAGGGUAUAGUUCAUGGUGAUAAUUCCAUUAUAUUUUUAUCAAUACACCACAUCAAUCUUAUAACUAGCUAGAAGAAACGGCCUACCUCAUGCUCCCGUUUGAGUCUUGUGUGCAAGCUCAUAUUAUGAAAUGAUAUAAGCAUGCUUGAUUCAAGGAAGUUGCUGGUCUGAUGUCACGUUAUACAACUUGUCCUUCUACAUUCCUGAAGUACUAAAAAAUGGAAAGUAAUGCAUUUCCUUCUAAUUCAUAUUUUUAUUUUUGAUUGUACUACGAAUGUAUAUGAGAUUAUCAUAUAUUUUGUAGAACGAUCGCCCUGGUCGCUGUUUUAUUCCUCUGUUAAUCUAUUUCAAAUAUCUUUAAUCAGAGUCAAAGCAUGACAUAAUAGUUGGGUGUUUAGCUGUGUUUUUUCUGCAUCUCCAUCCAGAUUUGUGUCCCAGAUCAUGGAGGAAUUACUCUCUCUGCUGGUGCGUUUACAGUGCAUUAUUUGUAGUUCUAUUGGGAAGACAGUUAGAGACCCCGAGAGGCUGCUGCGAGCUGCUAUUCCCCUCCUUGAGCUGGCGGACUGAUGAUGGAGGACCCGCCCUCUUCGCUGCACCGGCGCCGCCGCUGCUACUUCUGCUUCUGUUGCCCGUUGGCCCAGGGCGGCACAUGUCCUCUGCUUCUAAGGCUUCUUCUGCUGAUGGUCUUCAAGGUGCUGCUGCUGCUCCCAAGCUGUGGCUGGCUUCGCUGCUGCAGCACCAUGCCAUCUUCAGCGACUCACCAACGACGGCAGCUCCUCCGCUUCAGGGCUACUGCGGCAUGCGUGUCUCCCUCCUCCAGGGAGGCUGUGCGGCACCGAGCGGGUGUACGGCGAGGUCUUCGUAAUGGCGUCAAGUCACUCUUGCCAUAUGGAUCAUAUGUAAGCUCUUCCUACUCCUACAGGAGUACAUUUUCAUGCUUCAAAUAUGAACCUAUGUCAGGGGAAAGCAGCAGACCAUAAGCAGCAUGUCCAUCUUUUUAAUUUAUGCAGAUUUAGUAAAUUAUUUUCUUGAUCGUUUUGGAACCAUUUGUCUCUGAAGCAAAAUAAUGUGAAGUAAGAUUAUGCCAUUAUGUUAACAUUAUGUGUAGUAAGAUUCUGCCAUUUUGUGUCUCUGCAUUUCAAUUGUCAACACAUAUUGAUCUGUGUAUUGAACAAAACAUAUAGGCUGUUCUUCGAAAGUUUGAGUAUUGAUUUCAGAAAGAAAAAAAGUGUCGCCGCUAAUGUAUUGAUAGUACAGAUGCUGAUGUUAAUUUGGACACCUCGAAGCAUUUAUUUAUCCUUUUUUGUUGAAAUGGAGUCUGUACAAAUGGAGUAUGGAAAUGCAUAAAUCUGAACUGACCAAAUGGUACGAUGCUCAGUGUGUAAGAUUGAUCAAUUGAUCAAGAUUACAAAAGAAUGCACACAAGGAGCAUUAAAAGGCAUAAAAGGAGAUUUAAUUUUAGGUUGAUUGUUUAGUCCAUCACCAUAGCACUUUUUUCCUAACACUUUCGACAACCAUAGCACUUUACUGAACUUGUACAUGCACUCCUUCUAGAGUACUCCUUCAGUACAUGUUCAAUUGUAGUCUUCUUCUUCUAGUCUUCUUCUAACUUUCUUCUUUCCCAUU